CAAAAACAUAGGUCUCUGCUAAAGCGUAAGCUGAUGUAUAGGGGCUGAUACCUGCCCAGUGCUGGAAGGUUAAGGGGAAGGGUUAGCAUGUGGUGUGUGUGUAAGCAUGCAGUGUGUGUGAAGCUUUGAACCGAAGCCCCAGUGAACGGCGGCCGUAACUAUAACGGUCCUAAGGUAGCGAAAUCCCUUGUCGGGUAAGUUCCGACCCGCACGAAUGGUGUAACGACUUGGAUGCUGUCUCAACGAGGGACUCGGCGAAAUUGAAAUACCCGUGCAGAUGCGGGUUACCCGCGACAGGACAAAAAGACCCCGGGAGCUUUACUAUAGCUUGGCACUGGGUCUGGGCUUAUCAUGUGUAGCAUAGGUGGGAGGCUGAGAAGUCGGGGCGCUAGCCUCGGUGGAGCCAUCAUUGAAAUACCACUCUUGGUGAGUUUAGCCUCUAACCCUAGAGCAAGCUAGGGGACAGUGUCUGGUGGGUAGUUUGACUGGGGCGGUCGCCUCCUAAAAGGUAACGGAGGCGCCCAAAGGUCCCCUCAGAGUGGAUGGAAAUCACUCGUAGAGCGUAUUGGCAUAAGGGGGCUUGACUGUGAGACCUACAAGUCGAGCAGGCAGGAAACUGGGGCAAAGUGAUCCCACGGUGCCGUGUGGAAGGGCCGUGGCUUAACGGAUAAAAGCUACCCCGGGGAUAACAGGCUUAUCUUGCCCAAGAGUUCACAUCGACGGCAAGGUUUGGCACCUCGAUGUCGGCUCGUCGC
RNAcentral lists this ribosomal RNA (755 nucleotides) under marine sediment metagenome. RNAcentral's name for it is "LSU rRNA". It matches the Rfam family "Bacterial large subunit ribosomal RNA", at positions 1808 to 2543 of the family's 2925-position model. The record is from RNAcentral.